GUUACCUGGGGAUCUUGUUAAAAUGCAGAAUCUGAUUCAGUAGGUCUGGGCUGGGGCCCAAGAUUCUGCAUUUCUAGCAAGUUCUCAGAUGCUGCAAC
RNAcentral lists this microRNA precursor (98 nucleotides) under Equus asinus (donkey). RNAcentral describes it as "mir-544 microRNA precursor family". It matches the Rfam family "mir-544 microRNA precursor family". The record is from Rfam by way of RNAcentral. RNAcentral also lists the same sequence under 1 other name. Lineage: Eukaryota; Metazoa; Chordata; Mammalia; Perissodactyla; Equidae.